CUAAAGUCUAAAACGACUCUCGGCAACGGAUAUCUCGGCUCUCGCAUCGAUGAAGAACGUAGCGAAAUGCGAUACUUGGUGUGAAUUGCAGAAUCCCGUGAACCAUCGAGUCUUUGAACGCAAGUUGCGCCCCAAGUCUUCUGGCCGAGGGCACGUCUGCCUGGGU
Molecule: ribosomal RNA, 166 nt
Filed under: Pachycladon exile
Lineage: Eukaryota; Viridiplantae; Streptophyta; Magnoliopsida; Brassicales; Brassicaceae
Description: 5.8S ribosomal RNA
Rfam family: 5.8S ribosomal RNA
About the family: 5.8S ribosomal RNA (5.8S rRNA) is a component of the large subunit of the eukaryotic ribosome. It is transcribed by RNA polymerase I as part of the 45S precursor that also contains 18S and 28S rRNA. Functionally, it is thought that 5.8S rRNA may be involved in ribosome translocation.
Source: RNAcentral